AGCAGCAGCCGCGGUAACACGAAGGGUGCAAGCGUUACUCGGAAUUACUGGGCGUAAAGCGUGCGUAGGUGGUUGUUUAAGUCUGCUGUGAAAGCCCUGGGCUCAACCUGGGAAUUGCAGUGGAUACUGGGCAACUAGAGUAAGGUAGAGGAUAGUGGAAUUUCCGGUGUAGCAGUGAAAUGCGUAGAGAUCGGAAGGAACAUCUGUGGCGAAGGCGACUAUCUGGGCCAUUACUGACACUGAGGCACGAAAGCGUGGGGAGCAAACAGGAUUAGAUACCCGGGUAGUCCCUGUCUCUUAUAA
RNAcentral lists this ribosomal RNA (303 nucleotides) under uncultured bacterium. Its description in RNAcentral is "partial 16S ribosomal RNA". It matches the Rfam family "Bacterial small subunit ribosomal RNA", at positions 507 to 809 of the family's 1533-position model. The record is from RNAcentral.